This 35-nucleotide ribosomal RNA is filed under the name Verticillium sp. VS-6. RNAcentral's name for it is "partial 28S ribosomal RNA". The record is from RNAcentral. Lineage: Eukaryota; Fungi; Ascomycota; Sordariomycetes; Glomerellales; Plectosphaerellaceae.
CGGUUGACCUCGGAUCAGGUAGGAAUACCCGCUGA